AAUCCUACAAACCUCCAUAGGCAAAUAGAUGGGCUUCGCAUCAUUACCAGCUUGUAUAGCCGGUAGAGAUGGAAAUUUGAGCACAACACCAUAUUUUUCACGAAAGUAUUGUGCAACAUAGAUUCGGGUUCUCUGAUCAUCAAGAGUGAACAUUAAUCUGUUUACAGGCUCUGAUGAUAUCCCAGUAAUUUUGUAGGUCCUGG
Molecule: unclassified non-coding RNA, 203 nt
Filed under: Hevea brasiliensis (rubber tree)
Lineage: Eukaryota; Viridiplantae; Streptophyta; Magnoliopsida; Malpighiales; Euphorbiaceae
Source: RNAcentral